AACGAACGCUGGCGGCAUGCCUAACACAUGCAAGUCGAACGAGACCUUCGGGUCUAGUGGCGCACGGGUGCGUAACGCGUGGGAACCUGCCCUUAGGUUCGGAAUAACUCCCCGAAAGGGGUGCUAAUACCGGAUAAUGUCUUCGGACCAAAGAUUUAUCGCCUUUGGAUGGGCCCGCGUUGGAUUAGCUAGUUGGUAGGGUAAAAGCCUACCAAGGCGACGAUCCAUAGCUGGUCUGAGAGGAUGAUCAGCCACACUGGGACUGAGACACGGCCCAGACUCCUACGGGAGGCAGCAGUGGGGGAUAUUGGACAAUGGGCGAGAGCCUGAUCCAGCAAUGCCGCGUGAGUGAUGAAGGCCUUAGGGUUGUAAAGCUCUUUUACCCGGGAUGAUAAUGACAGUACCGGGAGAAUAAGCACCGGCUAACUCCGUG
Molecule: ribosomal RNA, 433 nt
Filed under: uncultured bacterium
Lineage: Bacteria
Description: partial 16S ribosomal RNA
Rfam family: Bacterial small subunit ribosomal RNA
Source: RNAcentral